RNAcentral lists this non-coding RNA (23 nucleotides) under Cricetulus griseus (Chinese hamster). Lineage: Eukaryota; Metazoa; Chordata; Mammalia; Rodentia; Cricetidae. The record is from RNAcentral.
UUCCCGGCCAAUGCAAAGAGAAC